Molecule: ribosomal RNA, 349 nt
Filed under: Wolbachia pipientis
Lineage: Bacteria; Pseudomonadati; Pseudomonadota; Alphaproteobacteria; Rickettsiales; Anaplasmataceae
Description: bacterial SSU rRNA
Rfam family: Bacterial small subunit ribosomal RNA
Source: RNAcentral
UGAGAUGUUGGGUUAAGUCCCGCAACGAGCGCAACCCUCAUCCUUAGUUGCUAUCAGGUAAUGCUGAGUACUUUAAGGAAACUGCCAGUGAUAAGCUGGAGGAAGGUGGGGAUGAUGUCAAGUCAUCAUGGCCUUUAUGGAGUGGGCUACACACGUGCUACAAUGGUGUCUACAAUGGGUUGCAAGGUGCGCAAGCCUAAGCUAAUCCCUAAAAGACAUCUCAGUUCGGAUUGUACUCUGCAACUCGAGUACAUGAAGUUGGAAUCGCUAGUAAUCGUGGAUCAGCAUGCCACGGUGAAUACGUUCUCGGGUCUGGACCACACUGCCCGUCACGCCAUGGGAAUUGGUU